This 72-nucleotide transfer RNA is filed under the name Candidatus Berkelbacteria bacterium. RNAcentral describes it as "tRNA-Thr". It matches the Rfam family "tRNA". From Rfam's summary of the family: Transfer RNA (tRNA) molecules are approximately 80 nucleotides in length. Lineage: Bacteria; Candidatus Berkelbacteria. The record is from RNAcentral.
GCCAUCUUAGCUCAGUGGUAGAGCACUUCCAUGGUAAGGAAGGGGUCUCGGGUUCAAUCCCCGAAGAUGGCU